Non-coding RNA from Heterocephalus glaber (naked mole-rat), 3749 nucleotides. The record is from RefSeq and is a predicted model, not a curated record. Lineage: Eukaryota; Metazoa; Chordata; Mammalia; Rodentia; Bathyergidae.
UCCGGCAGAUAAGAUAAAUGGCCAGGGUGAACCCACCCACUUUCUCACAGAUGCUGUGCGCAAGCAGAUCUCUUGCCUCACACUUCAUUAUUUGCAGCUUCCAGAGUCACUUUUAAGGUUUCAUGAUGUGGCCACCAUGAACAUCGUCGCGGCUCCUAAAGAACUGGCCCUCUGGGAGUUCCAUGUCCACCAAGAAUGACAGCGUCGGCAAAGGCGUGGCCGACUAGGGCAUCGCAGAGGCUCCCGCCCUGUGCCCACUUCCCAGCCAGCCCCCACGCCCCCAAAAACUUCAUCCCAGAUCAGCAGGAAGCAGAUACGGAAGAAGAAAACGCCGCCCCAAUUCCAUAACAAAAUGAAGGCUGGGAUGUUAGGUAUUUCAGAUCCCCCACAGAGUUUUCCCCCUGCCCCACUCCGGCCACAGGGAACAGGGAACUUCCGCAUAACUAAGGCAUGACCUCCCUUUGUUAGUGACUCCCUGCCUAGUUAAGGUCUUUCUGCCCCGCCGGUUUCGUGGUCAGAUGUUCCAGUAAGAUAGAGGCUUCCCGAAAGCAGUGACUCCAUCCCCCUGACCGAAACCUGUUGCUACAUACCCCAGCCCCAAUCACCCAGCCCCACCAAUGGCCUAGUGCUCUCCCACCUGCAAGAUCCCUAUAUAAGCUUCCAGCUCAACCCAUGCAGUUGCUGGUCUCCACUCUGUGAGUCAGCCCGGCAGGCUGCAGACUGUCGCCCCAAUAAAGCUUGCUUGAACGUCCGUGUGUGCCCCCCUUCUUCGGCGACCCUUUCAGUCCUUAUAAAGUAUGUACCUGAAGAAUUCUACUUAAACAUCAGUGAAUAAUUUUAAAGGCAGAAGAACAAGGAAUCUGUCUCUCUCAAACAUAUAUUUUUCCAGAGUCUGCAGUCAGCCACUGUGCUCUUCCUUGAGAGACCUUGAACCAAUAAGAAUGUGCUAAGGUUCUCAAGUCAGCAGGGGAAAAGCUGAGAAGCCAGGUACUGAGGAGAAGAAAACUGAAACCAAGAGGGCUCAUGCCAGUGGCAAGGUUAAGAGGAUGACUCAAGGUUAAAAACAUCGAAAAGGGGAAGCCCGGAUGCAGCCAAACCCUGUCCUCAUCAAAGGAACUGUCAUGUGCCCCCGAUCUGCUAAGUACUCCAGAAGGAGUGCCAGAGGAAGUACUCAGCUGCUCAACUCAAGAUUGAAAAGCAAAGGAAAAGGUUCUUGCUGCUGUCCCAAAACAAGUGAGUGAUAACAAGAACUGCAGUCCCUGGCAGAAGAAGGGUCACGCUGUAUUUAGAUCUUAUUCUACUAAAGUCGUGCCUCGAAAGCUAUUGUACUGCAACAAAAACCCUUCAACCAGCAUGUGGGAAAACUGAGCUAGCAUCACUCCUGGCAUCACCCUGGUCAUCAUAGCUGGGCUUCAUAAACCCCAGAGAGUGGUUUUCCCAAAGCAGUUGAACACGGCUUGCUACAUGUAACUGCACCUCUGUCACUCAGCUGAGUUCUUCUAUGUAGAACACACCAGAAAUUUGUCAUCACUACCUUCCCCAAAUUGACAUUAACAAUGUGAAAAUCACAAAACAUCUCAGUGAUGCUAACUUGAAGAAGAAGCAGAAGAGUCCCUACUCCAGAAAGGUAUAAGAAGACUUUGACAAUGAGAGAUGGGGCAAAUUGGAAUAUUUUAUUAUGAUGGAUCCUAGAGAACAAAUGGCCUCUUGCAGCUCAGGAAGCCACGUGUACACUUCACUAAUCUAAGAGGUCUGCUCAGAAGUUGAAUAGAAGAUAUUUUUUAAAGGGUAGGCGAGGAGGAGUAGAGGAGCUUACAAAAUAGAAGAAAAAAAUGUGCACUUGUAUACAGGAAGGAAGCUACAUGUCCUGGAUUUAGUACUCUAAGUAGAUGGUUAGCCCCCAAAGGGGAGGUAAGUAAAGAGCUAUGACUAUAUAGCAUAGUCAGAAUCAAGGAAAACCAUUCUUUUUUGUAUCUGAACUGGAUUAAAUGCAUUAACAAGUAUAUUUUAUCUUCAAAAAGUAAAACAUGUUACUUGAUAGUGAAAAAUGUAUAAGCAGGCAAUGGUAUUUGGAAGAUUCAGAUAAGAAUUAAGUUUACAAAUUAAAUAUUCAUGUUUUAUUAUUUUUAAUAAUAAACACAUUUAAGUAUGAAAAUACCAAAGGUAGGAAGGAAGAACAAGAAGGUAGCAUACAAAGUCCAAGUCUUCAUACUUCCACAGGAAUCUCAAAGUAAUAAAGUAAGAAACCAGAACACUUUAGGGACAGUCUAGUAUACAGGGAAGAGAUUUCAGUACCCCCAUGAGGCACAAAGUCAAGAGAAGUUGCAAGGAAGAACUUAUGAACAAUUUGUUUUACUUCAAUCAGCCCCUCCCCAAGCCAGCAGAGCUGUGAGAUGAAAGAGGUUGUCUUAUUCUGUGAUCGCAGGAUUUAAAGUGAAACUAAGGUGGCAAAAAUGUGUACACUGAAUACUACAAAAUAUGUGAAAGAAAUUAAAGAAAAUACACAUAACUGGAAAGCUAUGCCAUGAUCAUGGAUUGGUAAAGUUAAUAUUGAUAAAAUGACCACAGUUUUCCACAAAUUCAAUGUGAUCGCCAUUAAAAUCCCAAUAUUUUUAGAAAAAUCAAUUUGGAAUUUCACAUAGAAUCACAAAAGACCCUGAAAAGCAAAAAAUUUUGAGAAAGUAGCACAAACCUAAAUAAAUAAAACAUUAUGGUACUAGUAUAAAGACAAAACUACAGACCAAUGGAACAGAAUAAAGAUACCAGAAAUAACCUAUACACAUGUUGGUUUAUCAAAGGGUGCCAAGAACAUACAAUAAAAUUGGUCAAGGAUAGAAUCCUCAAUACAUGCCUUUGGAAAAAAUGGAUAUUCAUAUGCAAAAAAUGAAGUUGGACCUGAUCUUACAUCAUCCAUCAAUAAAAUCAAUUCAAAAAAAUUUAAAGAACUAAAGCUAUAAAACUCCUAGAAGAAAACAUGGGGUGAAAUGUUUUGACAUUGACUAGUUUUAAAACAUUUGUUGAAUAAAACAGCAAAGGCACAAACAACAAAAGUGAAAUUAGACAAACUGAAAAGCUUCUGCAAAACAAAAGAAAUGAUUAGAGUGAAAAGAAUGGGGAUAAAUGCGCACUCUAUAAAUCUAUGAAGGAUUAAUUCCAAAAACAGGUAAGAAAUUCACAGAACCCAGUAGCUAAAAGUGUAGUGAUCCUAUUAAAAUGGAUUAGGGUUUGAAUAAUCAUGUCUCCCAAGAAAACAUCCAAAUGAUGAACAGUUAUGUGAAAAUAUACAUAAUAUUAUUAUCACCAGGGAAACAUAAAUCAAAACCAUGUGAGAUAUCAUCAAAUGUCUGUUAGGACAGCUACUGUUAAAACAAAACAAGAGAAAAAUAAAAGGUAAUGUUGGAAAGAGUUAGAAAAUUGGAACACUUUUACACUAUUAGAUUGUAAAACAGACAACUUGAAUGAAGAAUACUAUGAAGGUUCUUCAGAAUAUUGAAAAUAAAACUAAUCUGUGAUCCAGCAAUGGAACUUUUCAGUAUAUGCCCAAAGUAAUUGAAAUUAAAAUCCUGGAGAGAUAAUUGCACUCUCAUCCUUGUUCAAUACAGCAUUAUUCACGAUAGUCAAGAGAUUGGAAAAAACCCUACACAUCCAUCAAUACAAGAAAUUACUGUUUAUACUAUAUAAUGGAAAGUUAUUUAGUCUUAAAAAUAAAGGUUUCUUAAGAGUAUGGCUUCAAUAUGGAUCCAUUUAGC